Molecule: small nuclear RNA, 161 nt
Organism: Neoarius graeffei (lesser salmon catfish)
Lineage: Eukaryota; Metazoa; Chordata; Actinopteri; Siluriformes; Ariidae
Product: U1 spliceosomal RNA
Exons: 1
Source: RefSeq, a predicted model, not a curated record
GCACUUACCUGGCAGGGGCAAUACCAUGAAGAAGGUGGUUUGCCCAAAGUAAGGCCCAGCCAUUGCAUUCCGGCUAUGCUGACCUUUGCAAAUUCUUCAAAUGCAGGAUUCUCGACUGCAUAAUUUCUGAUAGUGGAGGACUGUGUUCGCACUCUCCCCUU